UUCUAAACCCACAACACUAAUUGACAAUAAAUCCUGAAAGGGGGCGUGUUGUUAAAUUAUUUUUGGGUGGAGCUUACUUGGAAAGUCCUUGGAAAUACCGUCACUAUGUAAAAUUUGAUAUACGGGGUUUUAAUGGAGUUAGUGCAUUUUAAACAGGAUUAAUAAAAAAUAUAAGUUUCAUUCUUUACAUUUCAUGAUAAAGGUCUAGUCAAAUUAAGAUUAUAGGCGGCGCGUAUUCAGUAUUGUAAGUGAGGGUGACUGUGUGUUCCUUGCGGGUGACUUUGACACCCUACUGUUCGUAAACUUUUGUUUACUUUUAGGACUUAAGCUUGGUCUUUACAGAUCCGAUCUACCAUAUCUGAUCGGUGAGAAUCGUUCUUAAACAUUAGAAUUAAAGAAAAGCUUACGAACAGAGGGGUGUUAAAGUCACCCGCAUGGGACAGUCACUCAUACUUACGCUAGGUCAUAGCUUACCUCCCUCCAAAUGUAGUGUAAAAAUAAUUUUAAAAAAAUGAUGGAUAGUUAUUAUCCUUCAGUCUUGAAGCCAAGAUAUAUAUUUCAAGCUGUCACAAAAUUGCAAGAACAAGAUUUUUUAUUUUUGUGAAAUCUCUAAUAUUUUCACUGGAAAACAAACAAGCUUGUCCAUUUUUAAUUAAAUGGAUAGUAAAACUGUUUAGAGUUCCCGAACCCUCGAGAUCCUUGUAUAUGAGUUCUUCAUAUAUUUCCUGUAUUCUUCAAAUUCCUCAUGGGUUUUCUGGGUUUUGUAUAGAUUCUACGUAUACUUCAGCUUCGUACAAGUUCGUCGUUUUUCAUAUCGUUUUCUCCGCGUUUCCCAGGUUCCUUGAGUUCCUCAGGAUCUUUGAGUUCUUCAGAGCCCAGUCCAGUGAGUUCGCCCGAUUUCUUGUGGUUUCUUAAAAUUGCUCAUAGAUUUCUUAAGCUUUUCAUGACUUCCUCGAGUUCUCUAACAGCUAAGAUUUCUCUUUCAUUCCUCCAGUUUCGUAUGAGUUCAUCUGGUUAAUUUUUGGUUUCUUGGGAUUUUCGUGCUCCUCAUAAGGCUCAUCGUAUUCCCCAUAAAUUCGAAUUUCAAUUAGAAUUUUCGAAUUUCGCGUGAGUUCAUCAGAUUCUACGUCGAUUUCUCGUAUUACCCAUGAGUUUCUCAGAUUUUUUGAGUGUCCAAUAAGUCUCUGGGAUUCCUCAUGAUUUCUUGGGUUCACCAUGAGUUUCUUAAGUCUCACAUAUAUUGCUCAACCAGGGCGGGAAUUCUGUAGCAGUAUGACAAUGUCAUUAACAAUGACAAUGUAAAUUCGAGAUACUCAUACAUUUUUCAGGGAACUCAUAUUUUACUGGUAACUCGGAGAACCCAUGCAUUUUUCAGGGAACUUUCAGGGAACCCGGGAAACCCAUAUAGUUUUUCGGGGAACCCACGUAUUUUUUCAGGGAACUCGGGGAACUCAUAUGUUCUUUCAUGGAACUCACGAGGAAGUCAGGGAACCUAAAUCUUUUUCGAGGAACCGAGAACUCGAACCACUCUAAUUGCUUAUGUUAUGAAUAAGCCUUUGGGCUUUAAAGGCCUACAAAUGUCAAAAUACAGUACGACUCCAGUAGUGUUAAUGCGUUUGACUAAUAUUUCUAAACUAUUAGCCGUUCCAUUGCAGUUAAUAUUUCAUUUCGUUCAAGGAUUUCUCUGGUUCUUAACUUAGCAAAGUUAUUUAAAACAUUGAUAUUUACCUUCGAGUUUUACAAUUUUUUUCAAUGAUUGGGUUGACUAUGCUGGAGUCGUACCGUUAUUUGUAGUUUCUAAAAACUGAAAUAUUGAUAUGCUCUACAACAUGUGAAAGAUAUAUACUUCAAAGUUUUGUAGUCUUGAUCUUUGUCUCGGUUUCAAUACAAAAGGAAUAUAGUCAGGUAAAGCUGUCCCAAAAAUCACUAGAUGAUUUUUCACCUUGAUGUCUAGUUCAAAAUGAUUUUCAAUGGAUUAUUUUUGUGUGAAAAUAGCCAAUAUUAAUUAAAAUAGCUAUAUAAUAAUGUUUCAUAGAUUGAAAGAAAAAAAAACAAAUAUAUAAAUACAGAAAAGACAAAAAUCCAUUGAUGUGCAUAUUCAAAAUUUGUAUUUCAGAUAAUAAUUUGAUAAUACAAAGAGCCAAUCCAUUGAAAAAAAAAAUAAUGCAUAAUUUAUCAUAAAACAUAGAAGAGCCAUGCGAGAAAAAAACUCACAAAUAGAAUGUAAUGCAAAACAGGGAAAUUAUUUCUAAAUAAUCUCUACAGUUUGUUCAGUUUUCCUGAAGUAGAGAAACUUUAAGGUGAAAGCAUGAAAUAGUCGUUGAAUGUGAAACAAUACUCACUUGUAGACUUAAAAAAAAAUAAGAAACUGUGUAUUCUUGGUAAAAGAAUCGCAGAUGAAACCAUAAAUGUGUAUAAAAAGAAGGAGCAAGAGGAAGAAUGUUGAUACUUAUCUAUUGUUAAUGUUCAUGCUAAUUAACUGAUUUAGAACACUAGACAGAAUCAAAAAUCAAUAAAUUGGUUUUAGAACUGUA
Long non-coding RNA from Phlebotomus papatasi, 2534 nucleotides. RefSeq lists it as uncharacterized. The record is from RefSeq and is a predicted model, not a curated record. NCBI's taxonomy places the organism in Eukaryota, Metazoa, Arthropoda, Insecta, Diptera, Psychodidae. The transcript has 2 exons.